Molecule: long non-coding RNA, 3915 nt
Filed under: Gossypium barbadense (sea-island cotton)
Lineage: Eukaryota; Viridiplantae; Streptophyta; Magnoliopsida; Malvales; Malvaceae
Description: long non-coding RNA (GBAR_LNC008504)
Source: RNAcentral
AAAAAAAAGGAAGAUAGAAAAGAAACAGAAUGAAACGAAACGAAACAGAGAGCAGGGGAGAAAAAGAAAUAAAGGGCGAAAAGGAAAAAUCGAAGGUUUGAAGCUUUAAGCUUUAAUAGGUAAGUCAAUCAAACCCUUUUUACUUAAUUUUGAUGUUUUAGAAGUUUCAAAACAAAGUUUUGAUGAAAUUAAGUUGAUAUUUUGAAAGUUUUUAGAUUUCUAAAUAUUAUCCAUGUUAAAUAAAAUGAUGAAUUAAGGGCUAAAUUGAUAGAAAUUCAAGUUAGAAAUGAUAUAAGGAUUGAAUUGUAAAGUGAUUCAUAAGUUUUAUGCUUUAAGGACUAAAUUGAAAGAAUUUCGAAAUUAUGGUCUUAUGAUGAAAAAUAGAUAAUUAUGUUUAAGUUUGGUUAAAAAAUGAGUAGAAGUAAAGUAUAAAUUAAGAUAGAAAAGCAAGUGAAUUUAGUUAGGAUUAAAUUGAAAUUAAAAGUAGAAAAUCAACAUUUUGCACUAAGACUAUUUUGGACAGCAGCAGUAGUCUAAGUUUGAAAAAUCAUCAAAAAUUGUAUAAAUUUAAUUGGAGAAUGAAUAAAAUACGGAAUUAAAGCUUAUUGAGUCUAGUUUCUUAUAAAAGAAACGGUAUAAGCAAUUGAGUUGUAAAUUAUGAGAUAUAAUGAAUUUUGUGAGACAAGGUUAGAAUGAAUUUGGGUUCCCCUGUUCUGACUUUGGAAAAUCACCAAAAAUUGGAGAAAAAUAAUUAGAGGCUUAAAGUUAUAUGUUUAGAAUCCCUAAUGAGUCUAUUUUCAUGAGAAAUCAACGGUAAUAUUAUCCGAGUUUUUUACUAUGAGAUAAUUAAUUUUUAGUGAAGAAGGGUCGAAACUGUUAAACAGCAGAACAGGGGUAACUUUAAAGGAAUAAACUGUACUUAUUGGCUAAACCAAAAAUUCUAAAAAUUUUAUGGUGAGAAGAUAUAUGAGACUAGUUUUAGGAAAAAUUAGCGGAUUUUAAUUUGGAGUUUUAUAGCUCCAGAUAUAAAUAAUUUAGUGACUAUGACACAGAUGGACAGCUUGAAUAUCCAUAAAAGUAAAAAAUAAAAAUUAUAGAUAAUGUUACUUACAAGUGUGUUAUAUACAUUAAGGAUGUGGAAUGGAGAGGAGGAGGAGGAAAAUAUAUAUGAAUAUUCAGUUAGCAUGGCUAAUUUGCAUGUUUUAAGCUCAUGGACUAAAUUGAAUAAAAGUAAAAUUUUAGGGGACAAUUUUGUAAAAAUGUCAAAAAUGACUAAAUUGAAGGGAAUGAAUUGUUUUAUUAUCUAAAUUAAUGAAUUGAAUGAAAUUAUCAAUUUAAGAUUGGGUGAAAUUUGGAAAAAUGGUAAAUUACCAAUAUGCCCCUAAAUCUUGGUAUUUCUGCAAUUUAGUCAGGUAGGUUCGUAUAUCCUGAAUGAGCAUGUAAAUAUGACAGUUUAAGUAUUGUAUGGUAUUUUAUAUGAUAUUUUGAAUUGAAUAUACGAAAAGGAUGUUACAUGAAAUAUGAAAAUGAAUACUAAAUAAUAUAAAUUAAUUGAAAUUAUUCUGAAAAUCUCGGUAAUGCCUCGUUUAGGUGGGGAUUCAGUAAUCUCAUCUCACUGUUUCUUUCGGUUCCCAUGUUACUUACUUAAUACUAUGACUUCACUUCUCAAGCUAGUAUCUCGAUCGGUUCUUUUUCUUUAUACAAUGAAUCAAUUUAAAUUUCAAUAUCCCUUGUCAAGCUAACAUAUGAGAGAUUUGACCUAUAUUUUCUGAGCAUCACAAAUUUUCUGUAGCUUCGGAAGUGAAACCAAUCAAUUCAUUACUAUCUGAAUUCUUUCUAUAAUUUCAGAUACCCAAACAGAACGAGAACUCAGCUUCUCUUUUCCAAUUAGAUCUCAAAAUUUUCUUCCAACAUGCAACUUAAGAAAUACCUCAUCACUGACAGAAUACUCAAUAUACAUAAUUUCCAUCUGUUAAAACUGCUUUCAAUCUAUUUCAAUCUAAUCCGAUCACUUUCACUUUUCUUCGGUUUUAUAAAUCAAACAACUUUGCAUAUUCAUUUUCUCACAAUAUUAAAUCAAAUACUAUGAAAUUCUACAUUUACAAUCAUACAGAAUUUCAUACAAUACUGUAAACUAUUAUUAUAUAUCCCGAACUUCUUGUACUUAUUCUAGAAUCAGAAUAUAAACCAUGUAUUUCAAUCAGAAAUAAUAAAAAUUACUAUACCAUGAAUCUGACGAUCUCAGAAACCAAUAUUUCAGAUAAUUAUUAAGUAAGAAUUUCAUUCAUAUCGAAAUAAAUUAUACAGACUUUGCCUUAUCUUCGACGAUUGUUCAAAUAUCAUCUUUCUUUUUCACGGACAGAAAUAAUUCCAGUCCAAAACCAUAGAGAUUCUAUCCCAUUUCUAUUGUGGUAUCAUCACUACCCGAUAUAAACAUUUAUAUGCAAAUUCAAAGUAUUGCUUUUCUUUUCCCAGUCUUCAACACAUCUAUCUCAAAUCACUGUACAUCUUAUUCUUCCAGAAUGCAUAGACAUAGUACUAUUAUAAUUUCAUGCAAAUUCUCCUGUAUAAGUUCUGAAUCCUUUUUUUUAGCUUUUAUUUCUAAAUUGCAAAUAACCAUCAUAUUCAAUCCAAAAUGUUUAGUCAGAAAUCAUCUGUACACUAUACCCAUAUAAGAUCCCAAAAAUUUACUAUAAUAUACCUAGUUAUAAUAGCUAUAUUAAAAUAUUUUUGCAAUUUAUUCACCAAUCUAUUGACUAGUAUAGUCAUCAAUAAUUUCACAUUAUUUACUUCACUCAAAAAAAAAACUAAUUCAAAAGAAAUUUUCAGUUAACUAUUCUGUAAAUUACAUAUUUAAAUAAAUCGAUUUUCCCAUAAAUAACUUCUUUAUUUAACAGUGCUACUGUAUAUCUCAACUAGUUUAAGAAAAAUUUGAUAUCUCUAUUCAGAACCCAUCUUUACUUAUUAACUCAAUCUCAGUUCCGAUUGCAUUAUCAAUUGUUCAACCAUUGAGCUUUUCACUUUCCGCUUCUGAAUUUAAUCAAUAUAAAUCUCAUGAAUUUCAUUGCAUAUAACUGUAUUAGUAAAGGGGUAUAGAUCGUAAAGCCUCAUAAUUUAAUUUUCAUGUAUUUACUCAUAUACAUUUAUUAUUCUCAAGUAUUAUAAAACAUUUAUCCGUAUUUUUACGAGUUCUGCUUCAUCAUAACUAACAUUUUUACUCAGGGAUAAUCCUUUAUCUUGUAAAGAAAAUUGUUUACUUUUUAUUUAACAGGGGCCCAGUAAUCUAGAUAGAACACUUCGGAUAUACAGGACUUAUACAGAGGUGCAUUAUUAUGCACUAAUGAACAGAGAGCACUGAAGUGCUAUACAGAGAGCACAAAUGUGCUAAUCAGAGAGCACUGACGUGCUAAAUAUCAGAGAGCACAAAUGUGCUAAUCAGAGAGCACUGAUGUGCUAAUAUUCAGAGAGCACAAAUGUGCUAAUCAGAGAGCACUGACGUGCUAAAUAUCAGAGAGCACAAAUGUGCUAAUCAGAGAGCACUGACGUGCUAAAUAUCAGAGAGCACAAAUGUGCUAAUCAGAGAGCACUAAUGUACUAAUAUUCAGAGAGCAUGCUGAGGUCCCUUAACAUCCUAAUAGUUCUAAUAUUGUCUACUUGGGCAAAUUAUUUCAUACAUGCAUAUCACUUUUACAGCUUUCACAUAAUAUUUUUACAUGCUUUACAAUUUAAUCAUUGUACCAAUAAUUCAUAUACUUAUAUCGUUUGUAUCUUCAAUACAUGUAAUAUAUUUCAAAAAUCACUAUUCAUUCAUAAUUCUCUAAUAAUCCUUAUCACGUACUUCGUAUAUUACAUUUAUAUAUUUUGUAAUUUAGUCAUCAGCACAAUAUUUCAUAUAGUAAUAUAAUUUGCUUUUAA